RNAcentral lists this ribosomal RNA (505 nucleotides) under uncultured Desulforhabdus sp. RNAcentral's name for it is "bacterial SSU rRNA". It matches the Rfam family "Bacterial small subunit ribosomal RNA", at positions 903 to 1382 of the family's 1533-position model. Lineage: Bacteria; Pseudomonadati; Thermodesulfobacteriota; Syntrophobacteria; Syntrophobacterales; Syntrophobacteraceae. The record is from RNAcentral.
CGCCUUGCCAGCCCGCUCAGAACUCAAAGGAAUUGACGGGGGCCCGCACAAGCGGUGGAGUAUGUGGUUUAAUUCGAUGCAACGCGAAGAACCUUACCUGGGUUUGACAUAUACCGGAAAGCUGCAGAGAUGUGGCCCCCCUUGUGGUCGGUAUACAGGUGGUGCAUGGCUGUCGUCAGCUCGUGUCGUGAGAUGUUGGGUUAAGUCCCGCAACGAGCGCAACCCUUGCCUUUAGUUGCCAGCAGUUCGGCUGGGCACUCUAAAGGGACUGCCGGUGUUAAACCGGAGGAAGGUGGGGAUGACGUCAAGUCCUCAUGGCCUUUAUGUCCAGGGCGACACACGUGCUACAAUGGCCGGCACAGCGGGAAGCGAAUGGGCGACCAUGAGCGGAUCCCCAUAAAAGCCGGUCCCAGUUCGGAUUGCAGUCUGCAACUCGACUGCAUGAAGUUGGAAUCGCUAGUAAUCGCGGAUCAGCCAAGCCGCGGUGAAUACGUUCCCGGGCCUU